Molecule: long non-coding RNA, 1248 nt
Filed under: Betta splendens (Siamese fighting fish)
Lineage: Eukaryota; Metazoa; Chordata; Actinopteri; Anabantiformes; Osphronemidae
Description: lncRNA (ENSBSLG00000020528.1)
Source: RNAcentral
UUUUCUCAGCAGAGCAGAACUCACUUCACAUCCUGUUCUCCUCCACCGGCCGGUUCUGAGGGUUACGGGGCGACGCAGUCAGAAGCAUUCACAGCGCAGAGCUCAAGAUAAAUGUACGUCCAUGACUUCUGUGUAUCAGAACCAUCCAGUCGUGCAGCUCAGCAUUCAGUUUUGUGAUUCAGUCAAAUGGUUGUUCCAGGCCCUCCAGCACUGGGUUAAGGUCAGUGAAAGAGCGUGGGCUGGGUUAACACACCAAAUUCACUUAGCACUUAACAUCACCACCAAACAUGAUAUUGAUCUGACCCCAAAGGGCUUUUCCUUUUCCUGCCUUAAGCCAAACCAAACUUCCCCCAUAACAACCGUGUACAUGUGGUGGAGAAAUCUGGACAAGGACUUAAAAUCAUUCCGUCAAACUGAGACGUAUUUCUGUUUAAAGGCACUCUGAAAGUAAAAUGAUCUAUGGAGCAGCUCAUGUUUGUCAGGGAUAAUUUGCUCAAGGGGGUCAGGGAGCGCUGGACCUAAUGAGCAUCAUCCCUGAGCAGCGCUCAGAGCGUGAAAACAGCCCCACUUCUUUCCUCUUUCUUAGUCACCUGCGUUCACCUCCUCUCCGGCAAACGCGCGGCCUCUCCCGUUUGAAGCGCCUGCCAGACCAGGCCGUAAAGUGGAAGCGAGGGGAAGGGGGCUGGAGGAAGCCGAGUCCAGCUGAGUGCACACAGCCAGCUGCGGAUUUCGCCGGCCGCCAGCUGCUCCAAACAUGGGCCGGGCCUCUCCGCCAGCCAAGUGGUCAGCAGGCCCGUGAUGUCACAGCGCGGCAUGUUCCCGACCCGGCGCUGGCCCGCGCCGGCAUUCCACCGCCUGCUAAUGCCACAUGACCCCGGCGGCGAGGCCGCGGGGAUCUGGACCUGGAACACGGCGGCCCGUCUCACGCCGUGACAGCACCCGGUGUUCUCUGCCCCCGUCUACCCGGUCAGGUGACAGCGUGUGAAGAGGCCCGGUUCAGUGGGGUCACGCCUGGCCCUGUCCUGGACUGAUUGAUUUAAAAAAAAAAAAAAAAAAAAAAUCAUGCAUCAGAUGCAUCGGCCUUAUUUUAAACUUAGCAUAAACAGAAAACUUCUCCAUUCAAACCAAUGCAGCACAAAAAAGGCUGAGCUACAAGCUAGGCUAACAAGCUACAAACAGCCUUUAUGCAUUAUGUCACAUAGGGAGCUGUAACAAUAACAGUUACCAAUAAAAUGUUCUGAACACUCA